CCCUUGGCUUGUUUUUUGAUGUUGAAUCUGCCUAUGGCCAAAUCGGAGCCAAACCAACGGCCAAUCGGCCGUAAAAAACCGCCGAAGUCCAGCGGUGCCGCCGCGGCUUUCCUCGAUUUUUGCCUCCGAUGAGGCCCUUUCCGGUUCCCGUUCGAUGCAAUUUUUACACCACCUGAUCACCGUUCUUUUCUCUACAGGUUGAUCAGAGCAAAACAUCGAAUCGUGACUCGCACCGGAGAAGCCGCUGCACUUGAGAGCUCUGCUGCCGGUAAGUCUUGAUUUUUCGUGAUUUUUUGGCCCACCGAGGCGGAUCACCGCUGCGGGCGGCGACGCCAUCACCGGAGUGCGGCAAAACUACCGUGCCGGAGUUCUAAAAAUGGCUGAGUAGGCCUUGGGACU
This 399-nucleotide long non-coding RNA is filed under the name Carica papaya (papaya). Its description in RNAcentral is "long non-coding RNA (CPAP_LNC010733)". The record is from RNAcentral. Lineage: Eukaryota; Viridiplantae; Streptophyta; Magnoliopsida; Brassicales; Caricaceae.